This 32-nucleotide non-coding RNA is filed under the name Homo sapiens (human). Lineage: Eukaryota; Metazoa; Chordata; Mammalia; Primates; Hominidae. The record is from RNAcentral.
UGGCCUGUUACUGGGCUUUGGUGGAAACUGAA